This 359-nucleotide transfer RNA is filed under the name uncultured Microcystis sp. RNAcentral describes it as "partial 16S-23S ribosomal RNA intergenic spacer". The stretch from base 135 to 208 matches the Rfam family "tRNA". Lineage: Bacteria; Bacillati; Cyanobacteriota; Cyanophyceae; Chroococcales; Microcystaceae. The record is from RNAcentral.
AAGGGAGACCUAAUUCAGGUAGGAGACGAAAAAAAAGUAGUCGCUACCAAGAAUCAAUCCCAAAAGGUCGGAGCGAGGCGAAAUUGGCUUUCAAACUAGGUUCUGGGUUCACACAAGACCUGAAUCAGGAACAAGGGCUAUUAGCUCAGGUGGUUAGAGCGCACCCCUGAUAAGGGUGAGGUCCCUGGUUCGAGUCCAGGAUGGCCCACCUGUACAGGUGGCAAAAACAAGAGAAACGAGGAAUCAGCACCUUAUCUUACUUACAUAGUAAGAGAGAAUGCUGGCUCUGAGUAAAGAGUCCAGAGGAACCUUGAAAACUGCAUAGAGCUAGGUGAAAAAGCCAAAAAAGAAGACCGCAA